GGCCGCGGGAAUUCGAUUCAGGCUUAACUCAUGCAAGUCGAGCGGGGUUUUCGGACAUAGAAAAGGACGGGUGAGUAAUGCGUAGGAAGCUGCGCGAUAGAGGGGGAUUCCAGUUGGAAACGACUGUUAAUACCACAUAAUGUCUACGGACCGAAGUGUGGGACCUUCGGACCACAUGUUAUCGGAUGCGCCUACGUGGGAUUAGGUAGUUGGUGAGGUAAUGGCUCACCAAGGCGAUGAUCUCUAGCUGGUUUGAGAGGAUGAUCAUCCACACUGGAACUGAGACACGGUCCAGUCUCCUAUGGGAGGCAGCAGUGGGGAAUAUUGGACAAUGGUCGCAAGCCUGAUUCAAAAGGGCCGCGUGUGAAGAAGUCCUUCGGGUUGUACUUUAAAGGAAGCGAGGAGGAAGGGUGAUGUGUUAAUAGCACAUCAUUUGACGUACUCGCAGAAG
This 451-nucleotide ribosomal RNA is filed under the name uncultured bacterium. RNAcentral's name for it is "bacterial SSU rRNA". It matches the Rfam family "Bacterial small subunit ribosomal RNA", at positions 39 to 487 of the family's 1533-position model. The record is from RNAcentral.